CUGUUUAUCUUAUUUAAGGGGUUUGCUCUGCUCAGAUUGAACGCUGGCGGCAGGCCUAACACAUGCAAGUCGAGCGGAUGAGUGGAGCUUGCUCCAUGAUUCAGCGGCGGACGGGUGAGUAAUGCCUAGGAAUCUGCCUGGUAGUGGGGGAUAACGUUUCGAAAGGAACGCUAAUACCGCAUACGUCCUACGGGAGAAAGUGGGGGAUCUUCGGACCUCACGCUAUCAGAUGAGCCUAGGUCGGAUUAGCUAGUUGGUGGGGUAAUGGCCCACCAAGGCGACGAUCCGUAACUGGUCUGAGAGGAUGAUCAGUCACACUGGAACUGAGACACGGUCCAGACUCCUACGGGAGGCAGCAGUGGGGAAUAUUGGACAAUGGGCGAAAGCCUGAUCCAGCCAUGCCGCGUGUGUGAAGAAGGUCUUCGGAUUGUAAAGCACUUUAAGUUGGGAGGAAGGGCAGUAAGUUAAUACCUUGCUGUUUUGACGUUACCAACAGAAUAAGCACCGGCUAACUUCGUGCCAGCAGCCGCGGUAAUACGAAGGGUGCAAGCGUUAAUCGGAAUUACUGGGCGUAAAGCGCGCGUAGGUGGUUCAGCAAGUUGGAUGUGAAAGCCCCGGGCUCAACCUGGGAAUUGCAUCCAAAACUACUGAGCUAGAGUACGGUAGAGGGUGGUGGAAUUUCCUGUGUAGCGGUGAAAUGCGUAGAUAUAGGAAGGAACACCAGUGGCGAAGGCGACCACCUGGACUGAUACUGACACUGAGGUGCGAAAGCGUGGGGAGCAAACAGGAUUAGAUACCCUGGUAGUCCACGCCGUAAACGAUGUCGACUAGCCGUUGGGAUCCUUGAGAUCUUAGUGGCGCAGCUAACGCGAUAAGUCGACCCGCCUGGGAGACCCCAGA
This 900-nucleotide ribosomal RNA is filed under the name Pseudomonas sp. RNAcentral's name for it is "bacterial SSU rRNA". It matches the Rfam family "Bacterial small subunit ribosomal RNA", at positions 1 to 887 of the family's 1533-position model. Lineage: Bacteria; Pseudomonadati; Pseudomonadota; Gammaproteobacteria; Pseudomonadales; Pseudomonadaceae. The record is from RNAcentral.